RNAcentral lists this unclassified non-coding RNA (343 nucleotides) under soil metagenome. Its description in RNAcentral is "partial contains 5.8S ribosomal RNA, internal transcribed spacer 2, and large subunit ribosomal RNA". The stretch from base 1 to 120 matches the Rfam family "5.8S ribosomal RNA", at positions 35 to 154 of the family's 154-position model. The record is from RNAcentral.
GAUGAAGAACGUAGCGAAAUGCGAUAAGUAAUGUGAAUUGCAGAAUUCAGUGAAUCAUCGAAUCUUUGAACGCGCAUUGCGCCCGCUAGUAUUCUGGCGGGCAUGCCUGUCCGAGCGUCAUUUCAACCCUCAAGCCCCCGGGCUUGGUGUUGGGGAUCGGCGAGCCUCCGCGCCCGCCGUCCCCUAAAUCUAGUGGCGGUCUCGCUGUAGCUUCCUCUGCGUAGUAGCACACCUCGCACUGGGAAACAGCGCGGCCACGCCGUUAAACCCCCAACUUCUGAACGUUUGACCUCGGAUCAGGUAGGAAUACCCGCUGAACUUAAGCAUAUCAAUAAGCGGAGGA